AUUGAACGCUGGCGGCAUGCCUAACACAUGCAAGUCGAACGGAAGCAGGACUUCGGGUCCUGACGAGUGGCGCAGGGGGGAGUAUUACACCGGAGCGUGUCCCGGGGCGGGGGGGAACGCAUCGGAAGCUGGGCGAAUAUCGCAUGUGAGCUGAGGGUGAGAGCGGGGGGGCACGCAGGAAUGAGUGGCCUCGGGUGUCUGUAGCGGGCGAGGUCGGAUUAGCUAGUUGGUGGGGUAAAGGCAUACCAAGCCGACGAUCCGUAGCUGGUCUGAGAGGACGAUCAGCCACACUGGAACUGAGACACGGUCCAGACUCCUACGGGAGGCAGCAGUGGGGAAUUUUGGACAAUGGGCGAAAGCCUGAUCCAGCCAUGCCGCGUGCGUGAAGAAGGUCUUCGGAUUGUAAACCGCUUUUAUUCGGGACGAAAAGCAUUUAGCUAAUACCUGGCGCUUAUGACGGUACCGAAAGAAUAAGCACCGGCUAACUACGUG
This 492-nucleotide ribosomal RNA is filed under the name uncultured bacterium. RNAcentral's name for it is "partial 16S ribosomal RNA". It matches the Rfam family "Bacterial small subunit ribosomal RNA", at positions 29 to 507 of the family's 1533-position model. The record is from RNAcentral.